Molecule: unclassified non-coding RNA, 5076 nt
Filed under: Cimex lectularius (bed bug)
Lineage: Eukaryota; Metazoa; Arthropoda; Insecta; Hemiptera; Cimicidae
Description: uncharacterized LOC106669564, transcript variant X1
Source: RNAcentral
CUUUGCUGCCAUCAAAAAAUUGCGCGCACACACACACAAACACAUACAUACAUAAACAUAACACAAAUCCAAAUAGUCCAAAGUAAUCGAUAUGCCGAACCACGUCCGAGGACAUAAGCUCGACGAUGAUUCUAGUAUGAGGGGUCCUGAUCUCCCACAUCGGAGAUAUUCGAUGCCGGAGACGGUGAUGAGGAAGUUCCGGUUGGGCCAGAGUUCAAGCAGUUCCUCCGAGAGCGUCAACAGAAGGAACGGACGCCCGCGGAGGAACGCGACGAGGAGGAAACCGUCCAAGCCGAGCUGCAGAGUCAACAGGUCGUCCCAGACGAGCCCGCAAGUCAAGUGCCAAUCCGACAGCCAGCCCCUCAACGAGCGAGUGUUGGUGGAAAGUUCUCCUUCCUUGUCGAGGCCGAGGGCGAGCUCUUUUCCCGACGUCUCGUCUUCGGACGAAGGGAAGAUUUAUAAAUGUUUGAGGCCCGCAUCGGCGAGCGAUAAGCUCUUCGGGACACCAUCGCCCUCGCAUGUCUCCUGCUAUGGGCCCGCCGGGCAUCGCUGCGGCCUCUGCUCGAACAGUUGGUCCUACACGUCUUCUGACUACACCCUGAGCCAGACGGUGUCGGACAGGACGACUUCGACCCAAGACUCCACAUUGAGCGUUCAAUCUUCAAGCCCGACGACCGUUACGCCCAUUUCCUUCAACUCGGAAAAGGCGAGAAUCCUAGAGAGAAGCAUAUACGCCCCUUCGGGAAACUUAAUAGCCGUCCACACCGAAUGCCUCCUGAUACGGCCUAUCCAGGUCUCGGACGACGCGAACAACUGGCACUUCGGCUUUGCCCAGGACGACGAGGAAAGCAGGCUCGCGCUGAUGCCACAAUCGGUGGGCACCAUCACGGAAGACGAUAUCGGGGCCAUCACCUCAGGGAGAAAAGACAGAAGCACGUCAGUCGGAGAAUGGGACAAGCGAGAACUCAAAGAAAUCCAGUCAAAAAUGGACAAGAGCACGUACAUUGACAGCGCACUAGAAUACGUCUCGGACGUCUCAGAGAACGCUCAACCGCCAAAGUCCAUCUCAAAAAUCGAGUAUUCCAGAGAAAUAGGUGUGAACACUGAUGUUGAAAAUGCAUUUACAAACGUAGGCGUUCAAGUGAGCGAAAAUAAUUUUAACAGGGAUAAAAAAAACGCCAAGCCAGCAAACGGUAAUAUAACACCUGCUGAAGAAAAGCCGAGAAGACUUAGGCAAAUUCACAAACUCGGAAAAAGCUUAGAUAGAAAAGACAAAUGUCACCAGACGGAAAAUAUUCUUAAAUCGAGUAAAUCGUUUCCUCCCUUGGCAGUUUGUUAUCAAAAAGCGGUGAGCAAGAGUCUGGACGCGGAUGUCGCCUGCACCGGAGGCAACUACAAAGACAUGGCAGAGGCGGAAUCCGUGAUAGCCAGAUUUUCCGCCGUGCCGAGGUCAAACUCGAUGAUAGUCAAUACUUCUUCUGUUGACUAUUCCAGCGACAGUGACCUGAGUCUGACCGACAGCCUCGAAGACCAGUUGACGGUAGAGAAUGAAUGGCCGGAGAGCAAGCACGACAACAGGCUGGUCAGAGGUGAGGUCAGUUUAGAGGCUUCGCACAGCAAAAAGAAAUUUCGAAAAGGAGGAGACGCCUACGCUUAUUUUCUGUCCAUCAACGGGGAACAGGACAUGAUCAAAGAGUACCCCAUCCCCGAAUGGCUGUCCGCACGUCUGAAAAGGAGCGAGGAAGAGAUUAAAAAACUAUUCGAAAUCAAACUCAACAAAAGUCAAACUAUUAUAUACAGGAGGAGGAAGAAGACUGUGAAAAGGGUGGAAAAUUACGAAUCGAAUUCGUCCAAUUCCAAAGAGAACCCAAAGAGAAAAUCUGCCAAAUCUGUAAAGUUCGAGUGCAAAGGGAACGAGGAAAGUCAGAGCAACACAAGGAAAGGGACCGACAGAGUGGAACAGACGAGUUCGAACAACAGAGGAGAAAGUAAUAAAACGGUGAUCGUUAAACCGAACAAUCAACCGUGCGAUCGAGACGACAAACCGUCAAAAGAAAACGGCCAAUUAGCUAUAACGAACAAAAACAGCCAAGAUGGUCAAAAUUACGUUCACAUUUCUGAGAUAAUCAAGAUAGAAAUGUCGAACCAGUUAAAAACUGUGAUAACUAAGGAGAAACAGAUCAACCUGAACAACGAAGCUUUUUUAAAAGACGGUAAAAACAUACAAACUUCCGAAGUUAUAAAUAACGAAGACGCCUUCAACAGUCAGAAGAUCAUAAUGAAAUCGAACGUUGGGCAGUUCCAACUGGACGCAGGGUCGACGAACGUCGAAUUUCAGAGCACGAAAACUCGCGAAGAAGAAAAGGACGAGAAACAACAGAAGCAUCUGAAGAAAUUAGAGGUCGUGAAAAAGCAAGAAACUAGAGGAUAUUCUUUUAAACAGUUCAGACCGCUUUUCGAGUCGAAAGCCGACGACAGGACGGUCGCUGAAAUUCUUUUGUCCGCUAUGAACGAAUGCAGUAACCCGGAUGAAGAUGAGAAAGGAUCUAAUACGAAACACGAGUCGAAAUCCGUCUCGACUGCAGAUUCUCCAUUUACGACAGACAGAGGAGAACAAGUUGAGACGACAGAAUCGAAAUCAGUGUCAACAGAAGAUCCUUUUACAGUAGAUGAAGAACUGCAGGUCGGCAAAUCUGUCGAAUCUAAAGCGGUCUUGACUGACGCGUUUUCCGCUGUUAAUGUUCACCAAGAGGCAAUGGAGUCCAAAGCGGUGUCCACUGCAGAUUCACCUUUCACAGUGAACCAGAUGCAGCAGACGGAGGAUGAAGAAUUCGAUGAGAAGAACACAACGGAAAAAUCCUGCAAUACGACCCAUCCCUAUCUCUCAGAGCUAAUCCAAACGACCGAAUCCUAUCUAGAAAGAACUCAAAAUAAAGAAUCUGCAGGUCACAUGGAGACAGAUUCUUCAGAAAACAGUCCCACCCCGGUGUUCGACAACAUCUUGAGGAUGGAUGAAAAAGCGAGCAACACAAACAGUUUUUCCGUGUCAACCCUGGUACAGACAAAAGAGUCUUUUCCGGAGGAUGAAAUAUCGUUUAUCGAGAUGCUCAACAACCAAGAAGACAAAGGGACCGAAACAAUCGACGAGGUAGACAGCAAAAUGGAUAAAUCUUGUAACACCGUGAAUCCUCUGGCAUCUUCUUCCUCACAGACUGAGACGGUCAAUGAAGUCAAGCCAUUUUUGAAUGAUGGCAAGGCAGAAAAAACCGGUCAUAAGGCAAAAAAGGACACUAUUAGGAGGGUGCCUCUGGCUGUGGAGAAAAGUGCUAAAAGUAAAAAAGAAACUAAUCUUUAUUGCAAGAGGACCGGCCAGCUGUUGACAGACGACCCGAACACAACUGACAUUCUAGAAUUGACCAAUCCACGAUGCAGUUGCCACAUCUGCGUUCUGCAUAAAAAACAAAUAUCCGUCGCUGCUGAGAAACAAAAGGAGAACCAAUCGUCCAGUAACAAUUUGAAGACAAAGCUGCAACACAGAAAGCUUACGGAUCAAAAAGAAGACAAAAGACCUCAAAAAGUCUGCGGAAGGGGUAAAAACGGUAAUAAUAAAUUUCUAAGGAAGUUCGAAGCAAUACCUGAAGAGAAGAACAGCUCCAAUGAGUCUGUGAUGGAAGAGCAGAUCAUCCCUCUGGAUCUAGGGAGGGAAUGGCAGAAAUCUAACAAGAGCACGAUGACCAACCAGAGGCAGCUGAAAGAAAUCAAAGAAGAUACCGAGAUGAGGUACUCACCGGAAGAUGAUGCUGUUGAGACGGCCACAAAAAAGCCAGUCCAGGUAGCAGGCAAAAAGUCCAAUCUUGUCAUCGGGAGGUUCAGAGCGAUUCCAGAUGAAGAAGGGAAGAAAGAAUCAGGUAAUCUCGGCGAAGGGCUGGAAGUCAUUCGUCAAUACAAAGGAAGAGCCGCACUUGCAACGACGCAUGUCGAGGAACACGAUGAGCUCAUGACACUCUCCAAAGGAUGGAUCAACUUCUACCUUCUUAAAGACAGUCAGGAAUUCUCAGACAAUGAAGAAGCUCAGAAUUGGCAAAAUGAAGGGAACCAGAUGAUCCCGAAGAUAUCUGCAGGCAGUAAGAUAUCCGAAGAGAGGUUCAAGCAGUAUACCGUGGAGAUACAUGCUACACCAGAGCAUAUGCAGCAGAAAGGAGUCGUUCUACCUGACCUUCCGCAAAGAGAGACCAAAAAGAAGCAGAAAAACAGCAAAAACCCCAGUAAUAUCACAUUACCCGAAAUCCACAGUUCGAGUUCCUCCUCAACACCGGAAAAUGUCGAGAAACUUCAGCACAGUUCAAAAAAAUACCAACAACAGCUUCCCGAAGUGUGUGGCAGGAAAAAGAGACGAGAAUUCAACACAAUGAGAGAGCACGUAACCGCUAUAGAAAAACUGUCGAAGACUGGUGUCGAAAGGGAAUUUGAAAUAGCAGAGAACACACUAUCUACAAAGGCGGUAGAAGUGGCACGGUCUGAACAUUCUGUCAGCUCAAUUACAUCCUCAACGGUAAUUCUUUCUGAGAGUCCUUCGCCUCAACAGCUUCAACUAUCAGAGCGCAAAUCCCACCAUAAGCAUCAGGCUUUUUACAGCCAACCAGCUAACGACAUGGGCACCAGCUGGACAGUGACAGUUGCCGGGUCGAGUGGGACGAAGGACCGGACACCCCCAGAUGUUGAGAUGAAGCUCACAUUCGCCAAAACCAACUCGAGAAACGGCCAAGAAAACACCAGUUCAGAAAGGAGCGUUAUGCAGUACAAUUCACACCAAACAUCCCAAAUCAGCAGAUCUAAGAGGCAAGGAGGAAAGAUGAUUGAACAGUAUGCACACAGUUUAAGAAACGAAAGGCAUUCUCUCCAAUACGUGCCAGAGCUUUCGUUUCAAAAUCUUCAACAGACCAAGUUUGAAGAAUGUAGGAGUGUGUGUUGAUAGAAGGAGAGAACGAGGUUGGAGCCGCCUGACGACAUGGACGGUUUUCUCGACCCGGAAUACGCCUCCCGUUUUGACACAAGGUCAAAAAUGAGCUUGGAAGG